ACUCAAAUGAAUUGACGGGGGCCCGCACAAGCAGCGGAGCGUGUGGUUUAAUUCGAGGCUACACGAAGAACCUUACCUGGGUUUGACAUGACGCUAGUAGCGGCCUGAAAAGGCCCGCGACCGCAAGGAGGCGUCACUGGUGCUGCAUGGCUGUCGUCAGCUCGUGCCGUGAGGUGUUAGGUUAAGUCCUGUAACGAGCGCAACCCCUGGCUCCAGUUACACGUUGUCUGGAGCAACUGCCCGUGACAAGCGGGAGGAAGGUGGGGAUGACGUCAAGUCAGCAUGGCCUGUAUAUCCAGGGCUACACACACGCUACAAUGGCCGGUACAAUGGGUCGCCAAGCCGCAAGGCGGAGCCAAUCCAAUCAAAGCCGGUCUCAGUUCGGAUUGUGGGCUGCAACCCGCCCACAUGAAGUCGGAGUUGCUAGUAACCGUGGGUCAGCCAUACCACGGUGAAUACGUUCCCGGGCCUUGUACACACCGCCCGU
RNAcentral lists this ribosomal RNA (487 nucleotides) under uncultured bacterium. Its description in RNAcentral is "partial 16S ribosomal RNA". It matches the Rfam family "Bacterial small subunit ribosomal RNA", at positions 899 to 1397 of the family's 1533-position model. The record is from RNAcentral.